AGGAGUGUAGUUUAAUGGUAGAAUAACGGUCCCCAAAACCGCAGAUCACAGUUCAAUUCUGUGCUCUCCUG
Molecule: transfer RNA, 71 nt
Filed under: Ruminococcus sp.
Lineage: Bacteria; Bacillati; Bacillota; Clostridia; Eubacteriales; Oscillospiraceae
Description: tRNA-Trp
Rfam family: tRNA
About the family: Transfer RNA (tRNA) molecules are approximately 80 nucleotides in length.
Source: RNAcentral